This is a long non-coding RNA of Parasteatoda tepidariorum (common house spider), 580 nucleotides long. RefSeq lists it as uncharacterized. The record is from RefSeq and is a predicted model, not a curated record. Lineage: Eukaryota; Metazoa; Arthropoda; Arachnida; Araneae; Theridiidae.
ACAACUUUAGUAAAACAUACGAAAUUUGAUUAAAUUUAAAAUUGUUUAUUAAUAAAUUCCAUUAUUAUCGAUUAACUUUAAAAACGCCUUUCGUUAGUAGGCUUGUUAGAAUAAUUGAGAUUGAUAUGACUUGAUUGCUUUACGAACUUUUCAUGAUUUUUUUUCUGAAUUUUCUUGAUGGUUAUAAGGUUUUGGCUUGUAUCAUAGAGUGAAAGGUCUGUUCCAUUUAUCUACGGAUGAAUAAAAAAGCAGCACAUCAAAGACCCUCCCAUGGUGCAAAAUCCCUUUCUAUCUAGUGCAAAGCCUACGCAAGGAAAUGUUCGAAAUGCUACUCAAAUGCUCAAAAUGUCUAUAGAGAAACAGUUUCGGGAAAAAAGAAGGCGAAGAGCAUGAAGUCCUUUUUCAUGAGAAAGGCACUGUACAACAACCAAAGCCCCACUGAGAAUCUUGUAUCCCUGUUGGUCAUCGCACUUUGGAGCAGCUGUUGUAAACAGUAUUUGAUUGUAAUUUGAUUUAAAACUGUUUGAUUUUGUAUAAGAAUGCAGAUGUGAAAAUGCAGUAUAAGAACGCUAGCAAAUAA